Molecule: non-coding RNA, 30 nt
Filed under: Mus musculus (house mouse)
Lineage: Eukaryota; Metazoa; Chordata; Mammalia; Rodentia; Muridae
Source: RNAcentral
CAGAAACUGUGAUGUGCUGUGUGAUGUGAC